UUUUCUUUCUUGCAUAGUAAAAACAGGUUGGUGUGCACCACAUAAGCAGGAAAGGAGAGUGAAAGGGUGAGGGGGAUAGUGAAACCAAGAAGGAUAGUGAGGAGCAAAAUGGAGGAAAUGAGAGUGAAGCCGAGGAAGACGAUAAAAGGAGAGCAAAGUCCAGAGAAGACCAGUAUCACGGUCUUAUUAUACCUAGGGAACCUAGAUGGGAAUUUUGACCAAGGGUGAAGUAGAAUGGUGUACUUAGAUAGGGGCAUCUUACAUAUUUGUAAUUAAAGUUUUUGCAGUUGGAUAUGUACAC
Molecule: long non-coding RNA, 301 nt
Filed under: Amborella trichopoda
Lineage: Eukaryota; Viridiplantae; Streptophyta; Magnoliopsida; Amborellales; Amborellaceae
Description: long non-coding RNA (ATRI_LNC004957)
Source: RNAcentral